CACGUAGGGCGCAAGCGUUGUCCGGAAUUAUUGGGCGUAAAGAGCUCGUAGGCGGUUUGUCGCGUCUGCUGUGAAAACCUAGGGCUUAACCCUGGGCCUGCAGUGGGUACGGGCAGACUAGAGUGCGGUAGGGGAGACUGGAAUUCCUGGUGUAGCGGUGAAAUGCGCAGAUAUCAGGAGGAACACCGGUGGCGAAGGCGGGUCUCUGGGCCGUAACUGACGCUGAGGAGCGAAAGCAUGGGGAGCGAACAGG
RNAcentral lists this ribosomal RNA (253 nucleotides) under uncultured bacterium. RNAcentral's name for it is "partial 16S ribosomal RNA". It matches the Rfam family "Bacterial small subunit ribosomal RNA", at positions 524 to 776 of the family's 1533-position model. The record is from RNAcentral.